UGUUUUUAAAAAAAUUUUAAGUUAUUAUUUUUAUUUUUGUAUAGAAAUUUUUAUUAUUACUAUUAUUAUGAGUAGAGCUAGAAUGCUUUUAGAAGCACCAAUUCCUUUGUGCUUCUAAGUUUCUAAUCCUUGGAUCUAUUCCUUUAUUACUAAUAAUCUUUGGAUCAAAUACGAUUCCACUUAUCACCACCUACCAUCACCUAUCACCAUCAUCGAGAAUAUUCUAGCUCUACUCCUAUUAUUAUUAUUAUUAUUAUUAUUAUU
This 264-nucleotide long non-coding RNA is filed under the name Ananas comosus (pineapple). Its description in RNAcentral is "long non-coding RNA (ACOM_LNC002360)". The record is from RNAcentral. Lineage: Eukaryota; Viridiplantae; Streptophyta; Magnoliopsida; Poales; Bromeliaceae.